GACGAACGCUGGCGGCGUGCUUAACACAUGCAAGUCGAACGGAAAGGCCCCCACCUUGGUGGGGGUGCUCGAGUGGCGAACGGGUGAGUAACACGUGGGUGAUCUGCCCUGUACUUCGGGAUAAGCUUGGGAAACUGGGUCUAAUACCGGAUAGGACCAUGGUUUAGCGUCUCAUGGUGGAAAAAUUAUUGUUUUGGUGCAGGAUGAGCUCGCGGCCUAUCAGCUUGUUGGUGGGGUAAUGGCCUACCAAGGCGUCGACGGGUAGCCGGCCUGAGAGGGUGGACGGCCACAUUGGGACUGAGAUACGGCCCAGACUCCUACGGGAGGCAGCAGUGGGGAAUAUUGCACAAUGGGCGCAAGCCUGAUGCAGCGACGCCGCGUGGGGGAUGACGGCCUUCGGGUUGUAAACUCCUUUCGUUAGGGACGAAGCCACACCUUUUUUGGGUGUGGUGACGGUACCUUUGUUAAGAAGCACCGGCUAACUACGUG
Molecule: ribosomal RNA, 489 nt
Filed under: uncultured bacterium
Lineage: Bacteria
Description: partial 16S ribosomal RNA
Rfam family: Bacterial small subunit ribosomal RNA
Source: RNAcentral